Molecule: ribosomal RNA, 27 nt
Filed under: Fusarium cf. equiseti MY-2011
Lineage: Eukaryota; Fungi; Ascomycota; Sordariomycetes; Hypocreales; Nectriaceae
Description: partial 28S large subunit ribosomal RNA
Source: RNAcentral
GUGACCUCGGAUCAAGAAGAAAACUAU